GUCUACGGCCAUGCCACCCUGAAAAAGCCCGAUCUCGUCUGAUCUCAGAAGCUAAACAGGGUCGGGUCUGGUUAGUACUUGGAUGGGAGACCACCUAGGAAGAACGAGUACUGUAGAUG
Molecule: ribosomal RNA, 119 nt
Filed under: Pteropus alecto (black flying fox)
Lineage: Eukaryota; Metazoa; Chordata; Mammalia; Chiroptera; Pteropodidae
Source: RNAcentral